This 252-nucleotide ribosomal RNA is filed under the name uncultured bacterium. RNAcentral describes it as "partial 16S ribosomal RNA". It matches the Rfam family "Bacterial small subunit ribosomal RNA", at positions 524 to 776 of the family's 1533-position model. The record is from RNAcentral.
UACGAAGGGGGCUAGCGUUGUUCGGAUUUACUGGGCGUAAAGCGCACGUAGGCGGAUUGUUAAGUGAGAGGUGAAUCCCAGAGCUCAACUCUGGAACUGCCUUUCAUACUGGCAAUCUAGAGUCCGGAAGAGGUAAGUGGAACUCCUAGUGUAGAGGUGGAAUUCGUAGAUAUUAGGAAGAACACCAGUGGCGAAGGCGGCUUACUGGUCCGGUACUGACGCUGAGGUGCGAAAGCGUGGGGAGCAAACAGG